Molecule: non-coding RNA, 89 nt
Organism: Mycena epipterygia
Lineage: Eukaryota; Fungi; Basidiomycota; Agaricomycetes; Agaricales; Mycenaceae
Source: the annotation of a GenBank genome assembly
GGCCCGAUGGCGUAGCGAUUACGACUCCGCUCUCAAUCGAGCACCAUUGCAUAUGUACGGAAGUCCCCCGUUCGAAUCGGGUCGAGCCA